Molecule: ribosomal RNA, 270 nt
Filed under: Cedecea colo
Lineage: Bacteria; Pseudomonadati; Pseudomonadota; Gammaproteobacteria; Enterobacterales; Enterobacteriaceae
Description: partial 16S ribosomal RNA
Rfam family: Bacterial small subunit ribosomal RNA
Source: RNAcentral
UUAAUUGAAGAGUUUGAUCAUGGCUCAGAUUGAACGCUGGCGGCAGGCCUAACACAUGCAAGUCGGACGGUAACAGGAAGCAGCUUGCUGCUUUGCUGACGAGUGGCGGACGGGUGAGUAAUGUCUGGGAAACUGCCUGAUGGCGGGGGAUAACCACUGGAAACGGUGGCUAAUACCGCAUAACGUCGCAAGACCAAAGAGGGGGACCUUCGGGCCUCUUGCCAUCAGAUGUGCCCAGAUGGGAUUAGCCAGUUGGUGAGGUAACGGCUC